CCCACUCCUAGCUCUUCUUGAAUAUUUGAAAAGAAUUAGAUAAGGGCCAUGGGGACCCAGGUCACCCCACCUCUUCUUUUCAGUUUGGCUACAACAUUGGAGUCAUCAGUGCUCCUGAGACAGUCAUACAGGACUUUCUCAGUUACACUUUGAAAGAGAGGUCAGAAGACUCUCCCUCUGAGGUUUUGCUCAUGUCCCCCUGGCCCUUGUCUGUGGCCAUCUUCCCCAAUGGUGAUAUGAUUGGCUCCUUUCUGUUGCACUCUUUGUCAACCACUUUGGCAGGUGCAGUUCAAUGCUUAUCAUAAUUUGUUGGCUAUUACUGGUUGCCUUAUGGGAUUCUGCAGACAAGCUGAGUUGGUUGAAAUGCUGAUCCUGGGCCACUAGAUUACUGGCUUGUAAUGCGGACUCUGCACAAGUUUUGUGCCCAUGUACAUUGGAGAGAUCUCGCCUACUCCCCUUUGGGGUACCUUUAGUGCUCUCAACCAGCUGGACGUCGUUGGUAUUCUGGAGAUCCAGAUCUUUGGUCUGGAGUUCAUCUUGGGGUCUGAAGAGCUAUGCCCAGUGAUACUGGGCUUUACCAUCCUUCCAGCUGUCCUAUAAAGUGUAGCCCUUCCAUUUUGCCCUGGAAGUCGUAAGUUUUUGCUCAUUAACAGAAAGGAAGAGUACUAAUGAGAUCCUUCAGCAAUUGUAGGGGACUCAGGAUGUGUCCCAGGACAUCUAGGAGAUAAGAGUGCUAGGAUGAUACAAGAAAAGCAAGUCACUACACUGGCGCUCUUUAGAGUACCCAGCUACCAACAACCCACUGUCAUUUCCAUCAUGCUCCAGCUCUCUCAGUAGCUCUCUGGAAUCAAUGUUGUCUUCUAUUACUCAAUGAGAAUCUUCAAGGAUGCAGGUGUUGAGAAGCCAAUCUAUAGAUUAGUGCAGGAGUGGUUAAUAUUAUCUUCUUGACUGUAGUCUCUCUGUUUGUGGUUGAAAGGGCAGGAAGGACUUUACAUAUGAUAGGUCUUGAGGCAUGGCGUUUUGUUCUGUCCUCAUGAUUGUUUCUUUGUUAUUAAAGGAUGAGUAUGGUGGGAUGAGCUUUGUCUGUAGUGGGGCUAUCUUGGUCUUUGUGGCCUUCUCUGAAGUUGGACCAGACUCCGUUCCCUGGAAUACUGUGGCCACACUCUUCAGUUUGCAAUAGCAGUGGCUGGUUGCUCCAACUGGACCUCCAACUUUCUAGUUGGAUUGCUCUUCCUGAACAAUUAUUAUCUAGUUUAAGUGUGUUGUUGCUUUAGGGUCAUGGCAUGCUUAUGUAUUUCUGUUACCAUCUGACCAUGGUACUAUGCCAAGUUCUCUUAGGGGACCUGAAUCUUUCCAGUAGACCACAUUUGAGAGAGUAUGAGUCAACUGGGCAUAGUUCCCAACAACCCAAAAUACAUACGUACUUCACUGAAGCAGAUCUCAUGAUUCCA
Molecule: long non-coding RNA, 1451 nt
Filed under: Homo sapiens (human)
Lineage: Eukaryota; Metazoa; Chordata; Mammalia; Primates; Hominidae
Description: non-protein coding lnc-PANK3-13:1
Source: RNAcentral